This 492-nucleotide ribosomal RNA is filed under the name uncultured bacterium. RNAcentral describes it as "partial 16S ribosomal RNA". It matches the Rfam family "Bacterial small subunit ribosomal RNA", at positions 29 to 507 of the family's 1533-position model. The record is from RNAcentral.
AGUGAACGCUGGCGGUAGGCCUAACACAUGCAAGUCGAACGGCAGCACAGUAAGAGCUUGCUCUUACGGGUGGCGAGUGGCGGACGGGUGAGGAAUACAUCAGAAUCUACUUUUUCGUGGGGGAUAACGUAGGGAAACUUACGCUAAUACCGCAUACGACCUACGGGUGAAAGCAGGGGAUCUUCGGACCUUGCGCGAUUGAAUGAGCCGAUGUCGGAUUAGCUAGUUGGCGGGGUAAAGGCCCACCAAGGCGACGAUCCGUAGCUGGUCUGAGAGGAUGAUCAGCCUCACUGGAACUGAGACACGGUCCAGACUCCUACGGGAGGCAGCAGUGGGGAAUAUUGGACAAUGGGCGCAAGCCUGAUCCAGCCAUACCGCGUGGGUGAAGAAGGCCUUCGGGUUGUAAAGCCCUUUUGUUGGGAAAGAAAAGCAGCAGGUUAAUACCCCGCUGUUCUGACGGUACCCAAAGAAUAAGCACCGGCUAACUUCGUG